RNAcentral lists this small RNA (91 nucleotides) under uncultured Treponema sp. Its description in RNAcentral is "TD-2 RNA". It matches the Rfam family "TD-2 RNA". Rfam says of the family: non coding RNA found in Treponema denticola Lineage: Bacteria; Pseudomonadati; Spirochaetota; Spirochaetia; Treponematales; Treponemataceae. The record is from RNAcentral.
GACAGGAAGUCAGUGGUUCCAAACAAUAUCGAGUUUUUCAUCAGAAAAACUCGAAGCUAAAAAAUGUACAGGGAUGUACAUUUUUUAGCGA